AUUGGAGUGUCCUUAUCUUAUAGGUUAUGUGACAGGGUCAGCCCAGAUGGCUAAAAAAGAGUGGUCGAAGGUAGAUACAUUAGUUCCAGAUUAAGCAGCUCCCUUUUCCCUAGGUAAAACAACAGGUACUAUUCCAGAACACUCAGGAACUUUCCAGAACUAAUUAAGGCAGGCAGGCUAAUUAGGACACCUGUAGCCAAUUGGGAAGCUGCUAGAAUGAAUUAAGGCUAAUCAGGACAUCUGGUUUAAAAAGGCUCUCACUCCAGUUAGUGAGGGAUGUGCAAGGAGCUGAGUGAGAGAGGGUGUGCUACUGGAGAAUUGAAGAGUACAAAUGCUAUCUAGCAUCAGGAGGAAGGUCCUGUGAAGCCACUCUGCUUUGUACCCAUCAUGUUCAUCAAGUUUUAUCUGACUGUUGUACUUUAUGAAAAACCAUAAAAUUCUAUGUAAACAUCUUGGCAUUAGAUGUUGACAUUUUCAAGUGAAAGGCCAGUUAACUCUUGCAGAAAGCUGGGUUUCUGCCUCCAUAAACAAAACAAAGAAAUGCAUGCAGCCUUCACUUGGACAUCAGCUGGAAAAUGUGAAAAACAAUACAGUUCCUGGGAAACACAUUAAAAGAAACAAUGCAUAAAGCAUAAAGACGUGAUCUUGAAAGUUAUACUGUCCAGUUCAUCUCCUAGAUGAAGAAGUGAGGCACCAUUCAUACAAGCGAGAGAAAUGUGUUUACUCAAAAGGUCAAAUAAAAAAGGAAUGGGGUGAAAAGAUUUCCCACUUACCAGCAGGAGCUGAAUUUAAUUAUUCCAUGCUACUGCUCAUGUCACGUGAGGGAAUGAGUUCCAGGACAAUUCAGUCUCAGGCAAGUGAAGAUUCUUUGUUCAAAAUGGAAAAUCCAUCCAGGAUAAAGAGAAACUGUUGGUGGUUUUUAAAAAGUGAAACCAAUGAAGGGAGAAUGUACAGCACCAUAUUUAAUGACAAAGGCAUUACUGUUUCCGGAGACUGACAAUGUACAAAAGUAGGUCUAAUGAUGUCAGACUGAAAGACACUGGGAAAACCCCCCCCCCCCCCCCGCCCCAAA
This is a long non-coding RNA of Chelonia mydas (Green sea turtle), 1072 nucleotides long. RefSeq lists it as uncharacterized. The transcript is spliced from 5 exons. Lineage: Eukaryota; Metazoa; Chordata; Testudines; Cheloniidae. The record is from RefSeq and is a predicted model, not a curated record.